Molecule: long non-coding RNA, 822 nt
Filed under: Homo sapiens (human)
Lineage: Eukaryota; Metazoa; Chordata; Mammalia; Primates; Hominidae
Description: HSALNT0283718
Source: RNAcentral
UGGAGAGGUUGUCCUUUUCUGGCAUCAGCGUUGCGGCUCGAGGCAAAGCUGGUCCUGUGCCUGCUGUCCAUUGCCGCUAAGGCCUGCUGCUGCCAUUCAGGCGUGUCUCUCUCUCUCUCUCUCUUUCAUGCCGCUCUCUCCACCCCAUCUUGGGACGGCCAGCUCUAAGAAUUCCUGCUACGACACUGAAUUCAACCAGGAGGUGAUGCCACACUCAAUCAGAAACUAUGCUACUGCUGAAGAGGUAUAUUGAGCCCUGCCUGGUUAACCUCCAGUGAGGUUAUUAGAGAAUUGGGAGAGGCUCAAAUCAGCAUCCUGCACCUAGUUAUCAAACCAUUGUGAAGUCUUGAUUCCUGGAUGGCCAGAAAACUUGUCAUUGGUCAAGAGCAACAUUAAGAUCUGCCUGUUACUCAUACUGAUGCUUCCUGCCCAGCAAGUUCAUCAGAGGGCGAGGAUGAAUUACGGUUGCCAUGAAUGUCCUUGUGAGGCAGUUGGGAAGCCUUGGCUGGAUUGUGAAGGAUAUUUGAAAAGUAUUUUAGAGUCCACCAGAUCAUCCAUGUGAGUGACCAUGCAGCAAAAGAAGGAGGGUCCUCUCAGUGAUUAAGGAUUAUGAAGUAUUAAUUCUUCCACUGAUAUCUCAAAAGGUGAUCUGGACAAAGGAACAGGUAUCUCAGGAUUCCUCCUUGGUCACUUUUCAGCAGCAGCCUGCUCUUCUUUUGCAAUCUCUUCAGGAUCUCUGUAGAAGUAGAGAUCAGGCAUGAACUCCCACGGGUGUUCACGGGAAAUGGUGCCACGCAUGCGCAGAACUUCCCGAGCCAGCAU